RNAcentral lists this small nuclear RNA (22 nucleotides) under Arabidopsis thaliana (thale cress). RNAcentral describes it as "snRNA_15993". The record is from RNAcentral. Lineage: Eukaryota; Viridiplantae; Streptophyta; Magnoliopsida; Brassicales; Brassicaceae.
ACCGGAUCCCAUCAGAACUCCG